UCAGCUGUGACACACAAUUUAAUAUUAGCUGAAAGCAAGAUUUCCUGUUUUCUAGCUAAUCUAAAAUCGCAUGGUUUAGUGGAUUCCCCCCACUUGUUCUACUAUAUCUUUGCAGGCACACCCACCUGCCUGGACAUCAUCAUGUCCUUUUUUGACGCUCUGUGCAUGCGCAGAAGAUCCUGAGCAUGCAGGGAGGUGGUGCGGGCACUCACUUUUGCGAACGGGUAGCAAAGCAAUAUGACAUAUUUAGGGUGCCAUCAAACUAUUAUUUCAAGACAUCUUCUGAAGUACUCUCACCAAGUCAUUCCCCACCUGUCUUUUCUUUCCUAAGUGAAGAACCUUGCACUUAUCUUGUUAAAUGUUUCAGUUAGUUUCAACUUAUUACUUCAAGAUAUAUAUUUUUAUUUUUUAACUCCUGAGAAUACCAUGGAGAGUCAAGAAAACAAACCAUUGAACAACUCAACCCAGUCUUCCCUCAACCAGGUUCAAAUUAUCCUACUUUGAACACAUUGUGGAAGAAGAGGAUGGCCAGCAGCAAAGUGGAUGGACUGAGUUACAACAUGAAAAGGACACCACUGGAACAUGUGAAGAAAGUCUGGGUGUUUGUAAGUGUUGACACUGUCUUGCUGGCACAUGACCAAUCUGUCUUCUAAGGAAUGAGCUAUUCCAUUUUAAAUUUGAUAAGCAUUUCCCCACUUCUUCAUCCAAAUAAUUAAUGGAAAUAUAUCUGGAAAUAAUAAUUAUUUUUGGCCAUGUUGUGCAAGUGAGUUCAGAUCAUCAAAGAACACAGUGGGUAGACAUCAUCAAAGUUGACCCCAGCCAGACCACAGAAUAACUAAAAGAAGUAGUGGAAGAUCACCGUCAAUAUAUU
Long non-coding RNA from Thamnophis elegans (Western terrestrial garter snake), 871 nucleotides. RefSeq lists it as uncharacterized. Lineage: Eukaryota; Metazoa; Chordata; Lepidosauria; Squamata; Natricidae. The record is from RefSeq and is a predicted model, not a curated record. The transcript is spliced from 2 exons.